Molecule: unclassified non-coding RNA, 281 nt
Filed under: Hevea brasiliensis (rubber tree)
Lineage: Eukaryota; Viridiplantae; Streptophyta; Magnoliopsida; Malpighiales; Euphorbiaceae
Source: RNAcentral
AAAAAAAGAAGAAAAUUUUGAGUCUCACUAUACGAAACAGACUGUUGAAUAAUCAAACAAAGAAAAAAGAAAGAAACUUUAGAUCAGAUCUGAAAAUUUGAACAAGAGGAGUGUUUUAAUAGUCAAAGAAAAUGCAGACAAGGUAUAUGGAGAAACGUGUUUUGGAUCCAAGUAGUAGUGAGGAAGGUCAACCUGAUAGGAAAAGACCUGCUCUUGCAAGUGUCAUUGUUGAAGCGCUAAAGGUGGACAGUCUGCAAAAACUCUGCUCAUCACUGGAGCCA